CGGGGUGAGUAAUGUCUGGGAAACUGCCUGAUGGAGGGGGAUAACUACUGGAAACGGUAGCUAAUACCGCAUAACGUCGCAAGACCAAAGAGGGGGACCUUCGGGCCUCUUGCCAUCGGAUGUGCCCAGAUGGGAUUAGCUAGUAGGUGGGGUAACGGCUCACCUAGGCGACGAUCCCUAGCUGGUCUGAGAGGAUGACCUGCCACACUGGAGCUGAGACACGGUCCAG
RNAcentral lists this ribosomal RNA (229 nucleotides) under uncultured bacterium. Its description in RNAcentral is "partial 16S ribosomal RNA". It matches the Rfam family "Bacterial small subunit ribosomal RNA", at positions 104 to 334 of the family's 1533-position model. The record is from RNAcentral.